AUCACUUCUCGGCCUUUUGGCUAAGAUCAAGUGUAGUAUCUGUUGUUAUUAGCAUAAUAUUGUAUAUUCAACCAAUAGUCAAUAGAAGGUUGGUUGUAUCUGAUAUGAACCAACAUUGAGUUAAAAAUGGACCUUUUUUUGAGUAUUUUUAAAAAGCUAAUUGGCCGGGCGCGGUGGCUCAAGCCUG
Molecule: small nuclear RNA, 187 nt
Filed under: Colobus angolensis palliatus
Lineage: Eukaryota; Metazoa; Chordata; Mammalia; Primates; Cercopithecidae
Description: U2 spliceosomal RNA (ENSCANG00000016837.1)
Rfam family: U2 spliceosomal RNA (bases 1-137)
About the family: U2 is a small nuclear RNA (snRNA) component of the spliceosome (involved in pre-mRNA splicing). Complementary binding between U2 snRNA (in an area lying towards the 5' end but 3' to hairpin I) and the branchpoint sequence (BPS) of the intron results the bulging out of an unpaired adenosine, on the BPS, which initiates a nucleophilic attack at the intronic 5' splice site, thus starting the first of two transesterification reactions that mediate splicing.
Source: RNAcentral